This 254-nucleotide ribosomal RNA is filed under the name uncultured bacterium. Its description in RNAcentral is "partial 16S ribosomal RNA". It matches the Rfam family "Bacterial small subunit ribosomal RNA", at positions 524 to 776 of the family's 1533-position model. The record is from RNAcentral.
UACGUAGGGUGCAAGCGUUGUCCGGAAUUAUUGGGCGUAAAGAGCUCGUAGGCGGUUUGUUGCGUCGGCUGUGAAAACCUGAGGCUCAACCUCAGGCCUGCAGUCGAUACGAGCAGACUAGAGUGUUGUAGGGGAGAUUGGAAUUCCUGGUGUAGCGGUGGAAUGCGCAGAUAUCAGGAGGAACACCAAUAGCGAAGGCAGCUCGCUGGGACGUUACUGACACUGAGGCGCGAAAGCGUGGGGGAGCGAACAGG